Anguilla rostrata (American eel) is the source of this 2308-nucleotide long non-coding RNA. RefSeq lists it as uncharacterized. The record is from RefSeq and is a predicted model, not a curated record. NCBI's taxonomy places the organism in Eukaryota, Metazoa, Chordata, Actinopteri, Anguilliformes, Anguillidae. The transcript is spliced from 3 exons.
GGUAUUCAGUAGACGCUCUUAUCCAGUGCGAAUUACACAACUUUCAACAUAGCAUUUACACUGCAUUCAUUUAUACAGCAGGAUAUAUACUGAAGCAAUGCAGGUUAGGUACCUUGCUCAAGGGUACAACGGCAGUGUCCUACCCAGGAAUCUAACCUGUGACCUUUUUAGGUUACAAGACCAGUUCCUUACAGACAGACAGGCAGGCAGACAGACAGACAGACAGUCAGGGGUUCAUUAAGGCAGUGACAUCACCAGGUGACGUUACACACUUUGUAUCUGACUCGGGUCUGACCACAGCUCUGGUAUACUGCUCUGUGCUCAGUGCACGUGUGGGGGUGGACAUAUUUUGGCUGCGCUUGGUUCUCAGUCCGUCCCACACAGCGCGAGUCUGGCCAUGGUGGCCUCGAACAAGCGGGACACGGUCGCAUAAUCACGACCACAGCUCGGUCGGACUGAAUGGCCCGUUGCCGUAACGCGGGUGAGAUCCAACCGCAGCCGCUCUAGCACGAACUGUACGUUUUGUGCUGAGCGAAAGGCCAGUGUUCCCCAGCUAAGGGCACGAAUCGCCGCUUUCAUUGCUUCUCCGGGGAUGACGUCAUGUUCUGUACUGGAAGUUCACGUGCCAACUGACUUCUCCCAGCUGGAGCUGGAGCAGCUUCAACAACAGUUCUGAGUAAAGAAACAUCCACAAAAUGUCGCGCAUGUUGUGCGGGCAACUUUAUCCUGAGUCGCUUAAACGCGAUACAUUUUUACGCAUGCUGUCCAUUUAUAUAACCGCAUUAUUGCAGGAGCAAUUCAAAUUUAAGUCGCAUCCACAGUGAAAUAAUGUGUAAGACAAUGAUGUAGAAACUGCAUUUCAGACAUUUUUUUUAACUGACCGGACGUUAGCUCCGUCAAACUCAGAUUUAUUUAGAUAAAAUAUCGGAAGUGAUGUAGCAUACGUGAAUCUCUCACUGGCAUGAGUGUCCAGUCUUAUCCGAAAAAGGCCGGUGUGGGUGCAGGUUUUUAUUUUAGCCCAGCACUACGACACUUGAGUAAACUAAUUAACUAAUUCUGGUGUUCAGUCGAGACCUUGAUAAGUAGAAUCAGGUGUAUUAGUGCUGGGCUAUAAUGAAAGCUUGCACCCACACUGACCCUUUUGGGAUAAGAUUAGACACCUUUGGCCCUGCCCGAGAGUGAUUUCGCUAGCUUAAGUUAGUUAGGCUACAACUAGGAAGAUGGACCAUUUAAUGGAGACGAAGGAGGUCCAAUAUUAAAUGAAUUACGGACAGGAACGACCACAGUUUGCUAGGCGUCCAAGGGGGACCAGGAACAGGCGAGAAGAAGGAGAACAUGUCGCGUGUUACAGAGCUUGGCACUGCUGGAGGGAGGACCGCCUGUCUGUCUCCAUUAGAGGCUCUCUGUACGCUAAGAUCAUGACUAAAACGCAAGAGAGGAGGAUUCGCCGCCGUUUCCUUUUCCUGCUCUCCGGCUGGAGCCGGAAUCGCAGUCGGGAGUAACGUGUCAGCUCCGGCGUUCAGCGCGCUGUCGGUCAAACAGGAAACCGUGGUGCUUGUCUGGGAACGGGCUGCUGAAGAGGUCUCACUUCCUAACUGGGCCUUUCUCUGGACACUUUACCUGGCUGUUGGUGCUUCAGGCAGUUGGUCGUCUCUCCAGGUUGUCGGAGCUCCAGGUGUCUGGUUGGAGCUCCAGGUGUCCGGGUGGUGCUCCAGGUGUCUGGUUGGUGCUCCAGGUGUCCGGUUGGUGCUCCAGGUGUCUGGUUGGAGCUCCAGGUGUCUGGUUGGUGCUCCAGGUGUCCGGUUGGUGCUCCAGGUGUCUGGUUGGUGCUCCAGGUGUCUGGUUGGUGCUCCAGGUGUCCGGUUGGUGCUCCAGGUGUUCGGUUGAUGCUCCAGGUGUUUGGUUGGUGCUCCAGGUGUUUGGCUGGAGCUCCAGGUGUUCGGUUGAUGCUCCAGGUGUUUGGUUGGUGCUCCAGGGGUCUGGUUGGUGCUCCAGGUGUUUGGUUGGUGCUCCAGGGGUCUGGUUGGUGCUGCAGGUGUUUGGUUGGUGCUCCAGGGGUCUGGUUGGUGCUCCAGGUGUUUGGCUGGAGCUCCAGGUGUCCGGUUGGUGCUCCAGGUGUUUGGUUGUAGCUCCAGGUAUUUGGUUGGUGCUCCGGGGGUCUGGUUGGUGCUCCAGGUGUUUGGCUGGUGCUCCAGGUGUCCAGUUGGUGCUCCAGGUGUUUGGUUGGAGCUCCAGGUAUCUGUUAGUUCUUCAGGGAUCUGUUAGUGCUCCAGGUAUCUGUUAGUGCUUCAGCUAUCUGUUGGUGCUC